Acanthosepion pharaonis is the source of this 113-nucleotide non-coding RNA. The record is from the annotation of a GenBank genome assembly. Lineage: Eukaryota; Metazoa; Mollusca; Cephalopoda; Sepiida; Sepiidae.
UUACGGCCAUAUAGCGGUGAAAAACCGCUUCCCAUACAAUCAGCGAAGUUAAGCAAUGUCGAGCCUGGUCAGUAUCGAGAUAGUUGACCGCUUGGAAAUAUCAAGUGCUGUAU